RNAcentral lists this unclassified non-coding RNA (19 nucleotides) under Mus musculus (house mouse). Its description in RNAcentral is "oocyte_clustered_small_RNA3490". Lineage: Eukaryota; Metazoa; Chordata; Mammalia; Rodentia; Muridae. The record is from RNAcentral.
UGCAAUCAUUUGUCAGUCG